This 485-nucleotide ribosomal RNA is filed under the name uncultured bacterium. RNAcentral's name for it is "bacterial SSU rRNA". It matches the Rfam family "Bacterial small subunit ribosomal RNA", at positions 355 to 833 of the family's 1533-position model. The record is from RNAcentral.
UGGGGAAUCUUGCGCAAUGGGCGAAAGCCUGACGCAGCGACGCCGCGUGAGUGAUGAAGGCCUUCGGGUUGUAAAGCUCUGUGGAGAGGGACGAAUAAGUCGGAGCGAACAGCUCCGAUGAUGACGGUACCUCUUUAGCAAGCACCGGCUAACUCUGUGCCAGCAGCCGCGGUAAGACAGAGGGUGCAAACGUUGUUCGGAAUUACUGGGCGUAAAGCGCGUGUAGGCUGCUUCGCAAGUCGGGUGUGAAAGCCCUGGGCUCAACCUAGGAAGUGCACUCGAAACUGCGGAGCUUGAGUCUCGGAGAGGAUCGCGGAAUUCUCGGUGUAGAGGUGAAAUUCGUAGAUAUCGAGAGGAACACCGGUGGCGAAGGCGGCGAUCUGGACGAUGACUGACGCUGAGACGCGAAAGCGUGGGGAGCAAACAGGAUUAGAUACCCUGGUAGUCCACGCCGUAAACGAUGUCAACUAGCUGUUGGUCUUAUG